RNAcentral lists this unclassified non-coding RNA (388 nucleotides) under soil metagenome. Its description in RNAcentral is "partial contains 5.8S ribosomal RNA, internal transcribed spacer 2, and large subunit ribosomal RNA". The stretch from base 1 to 122 matches the Rfam family "5.8S ribosomal RNA", at positions 35 to 154 of the family's 154-position model. The record is from RNAcentral.
GAUGAAGAACGUAGUGAAAUGCGAUACUUGGUGUGAAUUGCAGAAUCCCGUGAACCAUCGAGUCUUUGAACGCAAGUUGCGCCCGAAGCCAUUAGGCCGAGGGCACGCCUGCCUGGGCGUCACACGUCGUUGCCCCCCCAUCUACUCCUCCGGGAUUGCGGGGGGCGGAUGAUGGCCUCCCGUGCGCCACGCCGCGCGGUUGGCAUAAAUGCCAAGUCCUCGGCGACGCACGCCACGACAAUCGGUGGUUGCGAAACCUCGGUUGCCCGUCGUGUGCGGUCGUCGCGCAUCGAGGGCUCGAAAAAAUUGCCGGGUUCCGGCUCGGCUUUCAACGCGACCCCAGGUCAGGCGGGGUUACCCGCUGAAUUUAAGCAUAUCAAAGCGGGGA